This 492-nucleotide ribosomal RNA is filed under the name uncultured bacterium. RNAcentral describes it as "partial 16S ribosomal RNA". It matches the Rfam family "Bacterial small subunit ribosomal RNA", at positions 29 to 507 of the family's 1533-position model. The record is from RNAcentral.
AGUGAACGCUGGCGGUAGGCCUAACACAUGCCAGUCGAACGGCAGCACAGUAAGAGCUUGCUCUUGCGGGUGGCGAGUGGCGGACGGGUGAGGAAUACAUCGGAAUCUACUUUUUCGUGGGGGAUAACGUAGGGAAACUUACGCUAAUACCGCAUACGACCUACGGGUGAAAGCAGGGGAUCUUCGGACCUUGCGCGAUUGAAUGAGCCGAUGUCGGAUUAGCUAGUUGGCGGGGUAAAGGCCCACCAAGGCGACGAUCCGUAGCUGGCCUGAGAGGAUGAUCAGCCACACUGGAACUGAGACACGGUCCAGACUCCUACGGGAGGCAGCAGUGGGGAAUAUUGGACAAUGGGCGCAAGCCUGAUCCAGCCAUACCGCGUGGGUGAAGAAGGCCUUCGGGUUGUAAAGCCCUUUUGUUGGGAAAGAAAAGCAGCAGGUUAAUACCCCGCUGUUCUGACGGUACCCAAAGAAUAAGCACCGGCUAACUUCGUG